UACAGAGGGUGCAAGCGUUAAUCGGAAUUACUGGGCGUAAAGAGCACGUAGGUGGUUUGGUAAGUCAGAUGUGAAAUCCCCGGGCUUAACCUGGGAACUGCAUUUGAUACUGCUUGGCUAGAGUUUAGUAGAGGGAAGUGGAAUUCCACAUGUAGCGGUGAAAUGCGUAGAGAUGUGGAGGAACACCAGUGGCGAAGGCGGCUUCCUGGACUAAAACUGACACUGAGGUGCGAAAGCGUGGGGAGCAAACAGG
This 253-nucleotide unclassified non-coding RNA is filed under the name uncultured Gammaproteobacteria bacterium. Its description in RNAcentral is "contains 16S-23S intergenic spacer region". It matches the Rfam family "Bacterial small subunit ribosomal RNA", at positions 524 to 776 of the family's 1533-position model. The record is from RNAcentral. Lineage: Bacteria; Pseudomonadati; Pseudomonadota; Gammaproteobacteria.